CCUACGGGAGGCUGCAGUGGGGAAUAUUGCACAAUGGGCGAAAGCCUGAUGCAGCAACGCCGCGUGAGCGAUGAAGGCCUUCGGGUCGUAAAGCUCUUUCCUCAAGGAAGUUAAUGACGGUACUUGAGGAGGAAGCCCAAGCUAACUACGUUCCAGCAGCCGCGGUAAUACGUCGGGGGCUAGCGUUAUCCGGAAUUACUGGGCGUAAAGGGUGCGUAGGUGGUUUCUUAAGUCAGAGGUGAAAGGUUACGGAUAAACGGUAGUAAUCCUUUGAAACUGGGGAACUUGAGGGCAGGAGAGGAGAGUGGAAUUCCUGGUGUAGCGGUGAAAUGCGUAGAUAUUAGGAGGAACACCAGUUGCGAAGGCGGCUCUCUGGACUGUAACUGACACUGAGGCACGAAAGCGUGGGGAGCAAACAGGAUUAGAUACCCGAGUAGUC
Molecule: ribosomal RNA, 439 nt
Filed under: uncultured bacterium
Lineage: Bacteria
Description: partial 16S ribosomal RNA
Rfam family: Bacterial small subunit ribosomal RNA
Source: RNAcentral